Myotis davidii is the source of this 76-nucleotide non-coding RNA. The record is from Rfam. NCBI's taxonomy places the organism in Eukaryota, Metazoa, Chordata, Mammalia, Chiroptera, Vespertilionidae.
GAGACACACUUAUGGGGUAAGACUUGCUUCAGCGGGGCUUUGAUGCUCACUGAGUCUGCCCCCUGAGUGUGUCCCU